RNAcentral lists this ribosomal RNA (406 nucleotides) under uncultured bacterium. RNAcentral's name for it is "partial 16S ribosomal RNA". It matches the Rfam family "Bacterial small subunit ribosomal RNA", at positions 30 to 526 of the family's 1533-position model. The record is from RNAcentral.
AUUGAACGCUGGCGGCAGGCCUAACACAUGCAAGUCGAACGAGUGGCGGACGGGUGAGUAAUGUCGGGGAAACUGCCUGAUGGAGGGGGUUAACUACUGGAAACGGUAGCUAAUACCGCAUACCAUCGGAUGUGCCCAGAUGGGAUUAGCUAGUAGGUGGGGUAACGGCUCACCUAGUCGACGAUCCCUAGCGGGUCUGAGAGGAUGACAAGCCAAACUGGAACUGAGACACGGUCCAGACUCCUACGGGAGGCAGCAGUGGGGAAUAUUCCGCAAUGGGCGAAAGCCUGAUGCAGCCAUGCCGCGUGUAUGAAGAAGGCCUUCGGGUUGUAAAGUACUGUCAGCGGGGAGGCGUUACCCGCAGAAGAAGCACCGGCUAACUCCGUGCCAGCCGCCGCGGUAAUAC